This 252-nucleotide ribosomal RNA is filed under the name uncultured bacterium. Its description in RNAcentral is "partial 16S ribosomal RNA". It matches the Rfam family "Bacterial small subunit ribosomal RNA", at positions 524 to 776 of the family's 1533-position model. The record is from RNAcentral.
UACGGAGGAUGCGAGCGUUAUCCGGAUUUAUUGGGUUUAAAGGGUGCGUAGGCGGUCCGGAAAGUCAGCGGUAAAAGCCCGGGGCUCGACCCCGGCGAGCCGUUGAAACUGUCGGACUAGAGACGGCGAGAAGUACGCGGAAUGCGCGGUGUAGCGGUGAAAUGCAUAGAUAUCGCGCAGAACUCCGAUUGCGAAGGCAGCGUACCGGCGCCGGACUGACGCUGAGGCACGAAAGCGUGGGUAUCGAACAGG